CCUACGGGAGGCAGCAGUGGGGAAUAUUGGGCAAUGGGCGCAAGCCUGACCCAGCAACGCCGCGUGAAGGAAGAAGGCUUUCGGGUUGUAAACUUCUUUUCUCAGGGACGAAGCAAGUGACGGUACCUGAGGAAUAAGCCACGGCUAAAUACGUGCCAGCAGCCGCGGUAAUACGGAGGUGACAAGCGUUCUCCGGAUUUGCUGGGUGUAAAGGGCGUGUAGGCGGGAAAGCAAGUCAGAUGUGAAAACCAGGGGCUCAACCUGUAGCCUGCAUUUGAAACUGUCUGUCUUGAGUACAGGAGAGGCAGACGGAAUUCCUGGUGUAGCGGUGAAAUGCGUAGAUAUUAGGAGGAACACCAGUGGCGAAGGCAGUCUGCUGGACAGCAACUGACGCUGAGGCGCGAAAGCGUGGGGAGCAAACAGGAUUAGAUACCCUAGUAGUC
Molecule: ribosomal RNA, 443 nt
Filed under: uncultured bacterium
Lineage: Bacteria
Description: partial 16S ribosomal RNA
Rfam family: Bacterial small subunit ribosomal RNA
Source: RNAcentral